AGGCGGUCCGUCACACUCCCGUUCCAUGGGUAUUCUAUGAUGGAAAAAGAAAGAACAAAAGGCCAAUCAUGAGAUAAAACAUUUGAUUAAACAUAUCUGUGUAGUGCCAAAAAGGUUGAUAUUGUGGUCAUAAAGUAUCGGCAUUCAGGAAUCAUUCAACACCACAGAUAGGACUACUCAGCCGAUGCCCGUGGAUAGGAGGCUACUGACAUA
Pelobates cultripes (western spadefoot toad) is the source of this 213-nucleotide non-coding RNA. Lineage: Eukaryota; Metazoa; Chordata; Amphibia; Anura; Pelobatidae. The record is from the annotation of a GenBank genome assembly.